This 177-nucleotide non-coding RNA is filed under the name Haptolina ericina. Lineage: Eukaryota; Haptophyta; Prymnesiales; Prymnesiaceae. The record is from RNAcentral.
CUGUCCAGGUGGCUUCAUUGGCGGAUCAGGUUGCAGCAAAGGCAAAGGAAAUCGUGGCUGAGCCGGAGGUGAUCGCUUCAGCUCCAGCUCCAGUGGCGAUUGCGACGGCUGCCACAAGGGAGGUUGAUGCUGCGGAGGAGGAGGCAAUAAAGAAAAAGGCGGCCGAGAAGGCGGCUG